GGUCCGGUGGCAGAAUGGCUUAUGCAGCGGACUGCAAAUCCGCGAAUGUGGGUUCAAUUCCCGCCCGGACCUCCA
RNAcentral lists this transfer RNA (75 nucleotides) under Neokomagataea tanensis. Its description in RNAcentral is "tRNA-Cys". It matches the Rfam family "tRNA". From Rfam's summary of the family: Transfer RNA (tRNA) molecules are approximately 80 nucleotides in length. The record is from RNAcentral. Lineage: Bacteria; Pseudomonadati; Pseudomonadota; Alphaproteobacteria; Acetobacterales; Acetobacteraceae. RNAcentral also lists the same sequence under 1 other name.